GACUGUGGAUUAGGGAUGGUAAAGUAG
This 27-nucleotide non-coding RNA is filed under the name Homo sapiens (human). The record is from RNAcentral. Lineage: Eukaryota; Metazoa; Chordata; Mammalia; Primates; Hominidae.